UGAGAACUGAAUUCCAUGGGUUA
RNAcentral lists this non-coding RNA (23 nucleotides) under Gallus gallus (chicken). The record is from RNAcentral. Lineage: Eukaryota; Metazoa; Chordata; Aves; Galliformes; Phasianidae. RNAcentral also lists the same sequence under 3 other names.